Talpa occidentalis (Iberian mole) is the source of this 586-nucleotide non-coding RNA. NCBI's taxonomy places the organism in Eukaryota, Metazoa, Chordata, Mammalia, Eulipotyphla, Talpidae. The record is from the annotation of a RefSeq genome assembly.
AUGGGAUCCAAGAGAGCAAAUUCAUUCAGCUCCUGCAUAUCCCUACGCUGCAGGUUGGGGGCUGGGAGGUGGGGCAGGGACUCCCAGGGAGGGUUUUUGUAUGAGACUUUGUCACUGUGUUGGGUGUUCGGCGGAGGGACCCAGCUGACCGUCCUAGGUCAGCCCAAGAGCGCACCCUCCGUCACUCUGUUCCCGCCCUCCUCUGAGGAGCUCAGCACCAACAAGGCCACCUUGGUGUGUCUGGUCAAUGACUUCUACCCCGGCGCUGUGACCGUGGCCUGGAAGGCGGACGGAAAGCCCAUCAGCCAGGGCGUGGAGACCACCAAGCCCUCCAAGCAGAGCAACAGCAAGUAUGCGGCCAGCAGCUACCUGAGCCUGACCUCCAGCCAGUGGAAAAGCCACCAGAGUGUCACCUGCCAGGUCACGCACGAGGGCAGCACCGUGGAGAAGACAGUGGACACCAACGCCUGUUCUUAGGCCCCUCAGGCUCCCCCACCCUCAGGGGCCUGGAGCCUCAGGACCCCCAUGGGUCUCCCUCCCCACCCCACCCAUCUCCACCCUUCAUCCUGCAAACAAUCCAUUCUCA